RNAcentral lists this ribosomal RNA (546 nucleotides) under Halorubrum sp. AJ130. RNAcentral's name for it is "bacterial SSU rRNA". It matches the Rfam family "Archaeal small subunit ribosomal RNA", at positions 325 to 870 of the family's 1478-position model. The record is from RNAcentral. Lineage: Archaea; Methanobacteriati; Methanobacteriota; Halobacteria; Halobacteriales; Haloferacaceae.
ACGGGGUGCAGCAGGCGCGAAACCUUUACACUGCACGCCAGUGCGAUAAGGGAAUCCCAAGUGCGCAGGCAUAGAGCCUGCGCUUUUGUCCACCGUAGGGGAGGUGGAGAAUAAGGGCUGGGCAAGACCGGUGCCAGCCGCCGCGGUAAUACCGGCAGCCCGAGUGAUGGCCGAUCUUAUUGGGCCUAAAGCGUCCGUAGCUGGCCGCACAAGUCCAUCGGAAAAUCCACCCGCUCAACGGGUGGGCGUCCGGUGGAAACUGUGUGGCUUGGGACCGGAAGGCGCGACGGGUACGUCCGGGGUAGGAGUGAAAUCCCGUAAUCCUGGACGGACCGCCGAUGGCGAAAGCACGUCGCGAGGACGGAUCCGACAGUGAGGGACGAAAGCCAGGGUCUCGAACCGGAUUAGAUACCCGGGUAGUCCUGGCCGUAAACAAUGUCUGUUAGGUGUGGCUCCCACUACGAGUGGGUGCUGUGCCGCAGGGAAGCCGCUAAACAGACCGCCUGGGAAGUACGUCCGCAAGGAUGAAACUUAAAGGAAUUGGCG